GACGAACGCUGGCGGCGCGCCUAACACAUGCAAGUCGAACGAGCGAGAGAGAGCUUGCUUUCUCGAGCGAGUGGCGAACGGGUGAGUAACGCGUGAGGAACCUGCCUCAAAGAGGGGGACAACAGUUGGAAACGACUGCUAAUACCGCAUAAGCCCACGGCUCGGCAUCGAGCAGGGGGAAAAGGAGCAAUCCGCUUUGAGAUGGCCUCGCGUCCGAUUAGCUAGUUGGUGAGGUAAUGGCCCACCAAGGCGACGAUCGGUAGCCGGACUGAGAGGUUGAACGGCCACAUUGGGACUGAGACACGGCCCAGACUCCUACGGGAGGCAGCAGUGGGGAAUAUUGCACAAUGGGGGAAACCCUGAUGCGGCGACGCCGCGUGGAGGAAGAAGGUCUUCGGAUUGUAAACUCCUGUUGUUGGGGAAGAUAAUGACGGUACCCAACAAGGAAGUGACGGCUAACUACGUGCCAGCAGCCGCGGUAAAACGUAGGUCACAAGCGUUGUCCGGAAUUACUGGGUGUAAAGGGAGCGCAGGCGGGAAGACAAGUUGGAAGUGAAAUCUAUGGGCUCAACCCAUAAACUGCUUUCAAAACUGUUUUUCUUGAGUAGUGCAGAGGUAGGCGGAAUUCCCGGUGUAGCGGUGGAAUGCGUAGAUAUCGGGAGGAACACCAGUGGCGAAGGCGGCCUACUGGGCACCAACUGACGCUGAGGCUCGAAAGUGUGGGUAGCAAACAA
This 734-nucleotide ribosomal RNA is filed under the name uncultured bacterium. Its description in RNAcentral is "bacterial SSU rRNA". It matches the Rfam family "Bacterial small subunit ribosomal RNA", at positions 28 to 775 of the family's 1533-position model. The record is from RNAcentral.